This is a ribosomal RNA of Roseivivax isoporae LMG 25204, 1786 nucleotides long. It matches the Rfam family "Bacterial large subunit ribosomal RNA", at positions 1 to 1116 of the family's 2925-position model. The record is from Rfam. NCBI's taxonomy places the organism in Bacteria, Pseudomonadati, Pseudomonadota, Alphaproteobacteria, Rhodobacterales, Roseobacteraceae.
GAUCAAGCGCGAGAAGGGCGUUUGGUGGAUGCCUUGGCAGUAAGAGGCGAUGAAGGACGUGAUACUCUGCGAUAAGCCGGGGGGAGCCGAGAAUUGGCACCGAUCCCCGGAUCUCCGAAUGGGGCAACCCACCUGAAUGUUGGUUAUUACCGCUUCACGGCGGCUAAUAACCUUCAUGAACAGGUACUCAAGACCUGAAUACAUAGGGUUUUGAGAGCAAACCCGGGGAACUGAAACAUCUAAGUACCCGGAGGAAAGGACAUCAAUAGAGACUCCGUUAGUAGUGGCGAGCGAACGCGGACCAGCCGAACCCUGAACGUGACCGGAAAUACCUGGAAAGGUAUGCCAUAGCGGGUGACAGCCCCGUACGGGAAGCGUGACGGGACGUAUCAAGUAGGGCGGGACACGUGUAAUCCUGUCCGAAGAUCGGAGGACCACCUCCGAAGGCUAAGUACUCCUUACUGACCGAUAGCGAACCAGUACCGUGAGGGAAAGGUGAAAAGCACCCCGACGAGGGGAGUGAAACAGUACCUGAAACCGAGCGCCUACAAACAGUCGGAGCUUGACUGGACUCUUAUGACGAUCCGAGGCCAUCGAGCCUUGCCAUCGUCGCGGCCCGGAGCGCAUACAGCCUCCGAGCAACGACGUGACAGGGCUUUACAAGAUGGCUGAUGGAACCUUUGCAGCGCUGCUGCUGAUCGCGGGCCUCGCGGAUAUGGGGCUCACGCAUUGCGGCAGCGGAGGCGGGUGCCUCGAGCGCACCGACGACAUCCCGCGCCUGGCCUUCUCGGCCGGCACGGUGGUGGAGCGGCGCGCCGACGAGGGCACCGAGGUCUACCUGCGAUACGAUCCGCGGACACGCUUCGGUCCCUUCGGGACCGCGCUCGGCCUCUCGGCCGGCGACGGCGUGGGCACGUGGCUCGGCGCAGGGGUGACCUGGGACUGGCAGUUCGGGCGCACGCCGUUCUACGGCGAGCUGCACGCGAUGCCGGGCCUCUACGUGGAAGGCGACGGCUUCGAUCUCGGCGGCCCGGUGGAAUUCCGGUCCGGGAUCGAGCUGGGCUACGAGGCGGCAAAUGGCUGGCGCUACGCGCUGAGCUACGACCACCGCUCCAAUGCCGGCCUCUACGACGACAAUCCGGGCAUCGAGACGGUGCAGAUACGGGUGUCGGUGCCGCUGCGAUAGGGUCAGACGGGGCUCUCCCUGCCGGGGAGGGCCUUCCGGUCUUCGCGGGGCGAAGAUCGUCAUAAGUGUCCAGUCUUGUGACGGCGUACCUUUUGUAUAAUGGGUCAUCGACUUGGUCUAUCCAGCAAGCUUAAGCCGUUAGGUGUAGGCGCAGCGAAAGCGAGUCUUAAUAGGGCGUCGAGUUGGAUGGAUCAGACCCGAAACCGAGUGAUCUAGGCAUGACCAGGAUGAAGGUUAGGUAACACUAACUGGAGGUCCGAACCCACACCUGUUGAAAAAGGUCGGGAUGAGUUGUGCCUAGGGGUGAAAGGCCAAUCAAACUCGGAGAUAGCUGGUUCUCCGCGAAAUCUAUUUAGGUAGAGCGUCAUCCGAAUACCCCGGGGGGUAGAGCACUGGAUGGGUAAUGGGGCCCCACAGGCUUACUGAUCCUAACCAAACUCCGAAUACCCGGGAGUACUAGAUGGCAGACACACGGCGGAUGCUAACGUCCGUCGUGAAGAGGGAAACAACCCUGACCUCCAGCUAAGGCCCCCAAUUCAUGGCUAAGUGGGAAAGCAAGUGAGACGGCCAAAACAACCAGGAGGUUGGCUUAGAAGCAGC